GUAGGUGGCAAGCGUUGUCCGGAAUUAUUGGGCGUAAAGCGCGCGCAGGCGGGUCCUUUAAGUCUGAUGUGAAAGCCCACGGGCUCAACCGUGGAGGGUCAUUGGAAACAGGGGGACUUGAGUACAGAAGAGGAAAGCGGAAUUCCAAGUGUAGCGGUGAAAUGCGUAGAGAUUUGGAGGAACACCAGUGGCGAAGGCGGCUUUCUGGUCUGUAACUGACGCUGAGGCGCGAAAGCGUGGGGAGCAAACAGGAUUAGAUACCCUGGUAGUCCACGCCGUAAACGAUGAGUGCUAAGUGUUAGGGGGUUUCCGCCCCUUAGUGCUGCAGCUAACGCAUUAAGCACUCCGCCUGGGGAGUACGGCCGCAAAGGCUG
This 374-nucleotide ribosomal RNA is filed under the name uncultured organism. RNAcentral describes it as "partial 16S ribosomal RNA". It matches the Rfam family "Bacterial small subunit ribosomal RNA", at positions 527 to 896 of the family's 1533-position model. The record is from RNAcentral.